This 255-nucleotide ribosomal RNA is filed under the name uncultured bacterium. Its description in RNAcentral is "partial 16S ribosomal RNA". It matches the Rfam family "Bacterial small subunit ribosomal RNA", at positions 524 to 776 of the family's 1533-position model. The record is from RNAcentral.
UACGUAGGGACCGAGCGUUGUCCGGAAUCAUUGGGCGUAAAGAGCGUGUAGGCGGCCACUUAAGUCCUGCGUGAAAUCUUGCGGCUCAACCGCAAGCGGUCGUGGGAAACUGGGUGGCUAGAGUGCGGGAGAGGAGAGUGGGAAUUCCUGGUGUAGCGGUGGAAUGCGCAGAUAUCAGGAAGAACACCCGUGGCGAAGGCGGCUCUCGUGGAACGCAACUGACGCUGAGACGCGAAAGCGUGGGGAGCAAACAGG